RNAcentral lists this ribosomal RNA (433 nucleotides) under uncultured bacterium. Its description in RNAcentral is "partial 16S ribosomal RNA". It matches the Rfam family "Bacterial small subunit ribosomal RNA", at positions 29 to 507 of the family's 1533-position model. The record is from RNAcentral.
AACGAACGCUGGCGGCAUGCCUAACACAUGCAAGUCGAACGAUACCUUCGGGUCUAGUGGCGCACGGGUGCGUAACGCGUGGGAACCUGCCCUUAGGUUCGGAAUAACUCCCCGAAAGGGGUUCUAAUACCGGAUAAUGUCUUCGGACCAAAGAUUUAUCGCCUUUGGAUGGGCCCGCGUUGGAUUAGCUAGUUGGUAGGGUAAAAGCCUACCAAGGCGACGAUCCAUAGCUGGUCUGAGAGGAUGAUCAGCCACACUGGGACUGAGACACGGCCCAGACUCCUACGGGAGGCAGCAGUGGGGAAUAUUGGACAAUGGGCGAAAGCCUGAUCCAGCAAUGCCGCGUGAGUGAUGAAGGCCUUAGGGUUGUAAAGCUCUUUUACCCGGGAUGAUAAUGACAGUACCGGGAGAAUAAGCUCCGGCUAACUCCGUG